This 459-nucleotide ribosomal RNA is filed under the name uncultured bacterium. RNAcentral describes it as "bacterial SSU rRNA". It matches the Rfam family "Bacterial small subunit ribosomal RNA", at positions 29 to 533 of the family's 1533-position model. The record is from RNAcentral.
AACGAACGCUGGCGGCAGGCCUAACACAUGCAAGUCGAGCGAUCCCUUCGGGGAUAGCGGCGGACGGGUGAGUAACGCGUGGGAACGUACCCUUUGCUACGGAAUAGCCUCGGGAAACUGGGAGUAAUACCGUAUGUGCCCUUCGGGGGAAAGAUUUAUCGGCAAAGGAUCGGCCCGCGUUGGAUUAGGUAGUUGGUGGGGUAAUGGCCUACCAAGCCUACGAUCCAUAGCUGGUUUGAGAGGAUGAUCAGCCACACUGGGACUGAGACACGGCCCAGACUCCUACGGGAGGCAGCAGUGGGGAAUCUUAGACAAUGGGGGCAACCCUGAUCUAGCCAUGCCGCGUGAGUGAUGAAGGCCUUAGGGUUGUAAAGCUCUUUCAGGGGGGAAGAUAAUGACUGUACCCCCAGAAGAAGCCCCGGCUAACUCCGUGCCAGCAGCCGCGGUAAUGUACAGUGU